CCUACGGGGGGCAGCAGUGGGGGAUAUUGGACAAUGGGGGAAACCCUGAUCCAGCGACGCCGCGUGAGUGAAGAAGUAUUUCGGUAUGUAAAGCUCUGUCAGCAGGGAAGAAAGAAAUGACGGUACCUGACCAAGAAGCCCCGGCUAACUACGUGCCAGCAGCCGCGGUAAUACGUAGGGGGCAAGCGUUAUCCGGAAUUACUGGGUGUAAAGGGAGCGUAGACGGCAGCGCAAGUCUGGAGUGAAAUGCCGGGGCCCAACCCCGGAACUGCUCUGGAAACUGUGAAGCUGGAGUGCAGGAGAGGUAAGCGGAAUUCGUGGUGUAGCGGUGAAAUGCGUAGAUAUCAGGAGGAACACCGGGGGCGAAGGCGGCUUACUGGACUGUAACUGACGUUGAGGCUCGAAGGCGUGGGGAGCAAACAGGAUUAGAUACCCCAGUAGUC
Molecule: ribosomal RNA, 443 nt
Filed under: uncultured bacterium
Lineage: Bacteria
Description: partial 16S ribosomal RNA
Rfam family: Bacterial small subunit ribosomal RNA
Source: RNAcentral